This 250-nucleotide ribosomal RNA is filed under the name uncultured bacterium. RNAcentral's name for it is "partial 16S ribosomal RNA". It matches the Rfam family "Bacterial small subunit ribosomal RNA", at positions 524 to 773 of the family's 1533-position model. The record is from RNAcentral.
UACGAGGGGAGCAAGCGUUAUUCGGAAUUACUGGGCGUAAAGGGUGUGUAGGCGGUGCAUUAAGUCAGUUGUUAAAUUCUUCAGCUCAACUGGGGGUCAGCGAUUGAUACUGAUGUGCUUGAGCGCAGAAGAGAGAGGUGGAAUUAUCGGAGUAGCGGUAAAAUGCGUAGAUCUCGAUAGGAACACCGAUGGCGAAGGCAGCCUCUUGGUCUGUUGCUGACGCUGAGACACGAAAGCGUGGGGAGCAAAC